RNAcentral lists this ribosomal RNA (492 nucleotides) under uncultured bacterium. Its description in RNAcentral is "partial 16S ribosomal RNA". It matches the Rfam family "Bacterial small subunit ribosomal RNA", at positions 29 to 507 of the family's 1533-position model. The record is from RNAcentral.
AUUGAACGCUGGCGGCAUGCUUUACACAUGCAAGUCGAACGGUAACAGGCCUUCGGGUGCUGACGAGUGGCGAACGGGUGAGUAAUGCAUCGGAACGUACCCAGAGGUGGGGGAUAACGCAGCGAAAGCUGUGCUAAUACCGCAUGUGAUCUGAGGAUGAAAGCGGGGGACCGAGCAGCAAUGUUUGGCCUCGCGCCUUUGGAGCGGCCGAUGUCGGAUUAGCUAGUUGGUGGGGUAAAGGCCUACCAAGGCGACGAUCCGUAGCUGGUCUGAGAGGACGACCAGCCACACUGGGACUGAGACACGGCCCAGACUCCUACGGGAGGCAGCAGUGGGGAAUUUUGGACAAUGGGCGCAAGCCUGAUCCAGCAAUGCCGCGUGAGGGAAGAAGGCCUUCGGGUUGUAAACCGCUUUUGGCAGGAACGAAACGGUGUCCGCUAAUACCGGGCGCUAAUGACGGUACCUGCAGAAUAAGCACCGGCUAACUACGUG